RNAcentral lists this ribosomal RNA (849 nucleotides) under Triticum aestivum (bread wheat). Its description in RNAcentral is "partial small subunit ribosomal RNA". The record is from RNAcentral. Lineage: Eukaryota; Viridiplantae; Streptophyta; Magnoliopsida; Poales; Poaceae.
AUGGGUGGAGCGGGCGACCAGGAUCCGCGACGCCACCGCGGUGUGGAUUCGGCGCGUACAGGAGUGGAAGGCGGCAGAUCAGGCGGUGUCAGCGGCGAUAGAUCCGAGCGUGAGAUCUGUGGCGAUGAGAUAUGCAGAGAGUUGUCAGAGGAGAGCAGAUCUAGAGCAGAGGAUUUUGGCGAGGGUGAUCUACGACGAGGCCACAUCGGAAGAAAGAGCAAGGAUGCCCGCCUUCCCGCACUCCCCGCCGGCUACGUUUGUUCUGUGGGCGAGGGCAGAGGCGAAAUCAGAGGAACCCCAGAGGGCGCUGCGGUGGGAAUGCUUGCUGGGAGUGAUGCCAUCGGGUGCACCACUGCAGCUCUCGUCCUCGCCGCCGGAGACCAACCGUAUUUGAGCCCAUCUUCGCUGGCAGAUGCCACCAUCUCCUUCUUCGGAGCCGAUCGAUCCAUACCUGUUGCCGGAGUUCUGAAGGGAUCUGGGUUGGGGACACCUGAAGUUUCUGAACUUGGAGGUACGCUAAAGAGCAGGCAGGUUAUGUUUGAUCCUGGUGGUUCAACGUCAGAUUGUGUGACUGUACAUGGAAAUGAUAUGGUGGAAUCGAGGCUUGGAGGAAGAUUUUGGGCCCUGGAUCAAUUGGGUGAUGAUGAUGAUGACAUUCUAAAUGAGGACACAAAGCAACACAACCCUUAUCUGGCGACAAUUACAGACACAUUUGCUUGUGCUAAGCAUGUGAAGAAGAAUGGGAAGAGAAGAGAUAAGAAUCUGAACAAGAAAAUCAGUAGCAAAGAUGAAGGGGGAGGAAAAUCGGCAACUAAACAAGUGAGGGAGGACGCAAAAAUUGAACUAUAA